This is a long non-coding RNA of Panthera uncia (snow leopard), 1378 nucleotides long. RefSeq lists it as uncharacterized. The record is from RefSeq and is a predicted model, not a curated record. The transcript has 3 exons. Lineage: Eukaryota; Metazoa; Chordata; Mammalia; Carnivora; Felidae.
GGAGGCAGGUGGCCCUUGUUCCUCUCCUGAGAGGUCCUGCCCCUGGAGCCUGCAGACCCUCGGCCUCAAGGACAAAACAGAGGGGAGAAUCUGGGCCAGAAAAUCAGAAACUUCAUCCCGGACCACGCACUAACUCCUGGGCCUGACUUGGAAACAAGUGCCAAGAGCAUUCCAGAGGGGUCAGAGGGAGUGUUUACUGUCAGACUGUGAAGAAACUUCCUCCAAUAAACCCUUGGGUCACGUAUCAACCCUCGAGUAAUGCCUUCAAGACUGAGUACUCAGCAAACCCUCAUUCGGCACCUACUGUGUGUCAGGCCCCAGCCCAGGCGUGGAGACACAGAGACACAGGGAAUGUAGUAGAAGGAGGCAUUGACCUAUCCUCGAAGGCCGGUAACAAGGGUCUCCUUUGGACACCAAUUGUUUCUCUGCCCGACUGCAUUCUUUUUUCCAAAAAUGUUAAACGCCGUGGAAUGCGUGAGUUCAACAAUCAACACUCUUCAGAGACAACCAGUGACCGGUGCCGGCUGAGCACAAUUCUCCAGCACUUCCUUCCGGGCUUCAACAUAGCGACGACUCCAGGGCUUACUGUCUUCCAGGCCUGCAGAGACAAAGCCUCGCAGGGUUGCACGCAUUCCAUCCUCGAAACACCUCCCAGAGGAAAGCACUAGGAGCGAGCACGCCCGGUUUCUGCGCAGGGAAACCGAGGCACGGCAACAGUGAGUCACACGGUGCAAGUCACACGGGAAACCUGGCUCCGGGUCCGGGCCCUUAGCCCUGAGACACGGAGAGCUGCGGAACCUGUCCACCCUCAGCCGCGCUCAGACCAGUGUCAGCCCCGCUCUCUGCUGCUUGCAACACGGCGAGUGAAUCCAAACGCCCACACGAAAACAGCGUUCACCCCAACAGCCUCGCACUGUACGAACUGUCCUGAGCCUGAACUAGACCUUGUGAACAUCCGCUGUUAUCACAGGCAGAUCUACUGCCUUCACUUCAAGGUCUGUUCGGUACUCCAAAUUUGAGCGCAUCGCAGUGGAUCGGACCAGUCUCCUCCCAGGACUUGCGGGGUGGUUUCCGGUGUUCCACUCUUACAAACCGUGUUCCCCGCAGAGAUCUUCGCUGGGGCCGAUGAGCAUUUCGGCCACAUGGAUUCCUGGAAGAGGGGUCGCCAGGUCAAUGGUGCGGCCACACCUGCCGAGCUGCCCGCCGGGCAGACUGGUCCAGAGCUCAUUUCCAUCCACCGGAGGAAGAAUGUCUGAGCUGGCCGCGUUUAAAUGCCUUUUCCCGUUGUGGCUGGCCGCUGAGCUGCAUUUCACAGCCUCCCUGCACUUUGCAUUUUUAUCUGUGCUCUUAAAUGGCUUUGAGAAGGUCAGGAUAAAAA